CACAAACUGGAACGGUGUUGCUUCCCACAUACCAGGCACAGCCCAGAGCGCUUUAGCUCAGCGCCUCAUCUCAUCCUCACACACCUCCAUGAGCUCCCUGUUCACGGAGAUUAAGGGCUGAUCACAGACACACAACCUCAUAAGCAUCCUGCAUACUACACUCCAUCUGAGUCUGCUUCCUAGGGAACCCAAGUUGCAACUGGAUUCAUAGGUCAUUGUUGACUUACCAGAAGGGCUGCGAGUUCCUUGGCUGACUCAGAGCUUACUCCUCCUUCAGCAACACUGAUACCCGGCCCUUGACCUUGUGACUUGCUGCCACCAGCCACAAAGUUAUGAAAUGGAGGAAACAUAUCACCAGAAACACAAGCCUUCCCGAUUUUUUUUUACUUUCUUUCAUUCAAAAUCUAAUGGAGUGUUGCUUUUUAUCACAAAUGAAAGCCUUUCGUGUUUGAGUUUCUAUCAUAGAACUUCAGGCAUCUGCAAAUGGGAGUGGAGGUCAGAGGGGCGGGGGUGUCUGCUCUGGCCACGCUGUUCUCUGGGAGUCGUGGUGCUGGUCAGGGGAGGCCUCCUCCCAGCCAGCUUUGCUGGAUGCUGGCUCCCAGAGAGUGCACAUUACUCACCCUCUCUCAGCCUGCACAUCCUCAUUUACAAAGUAAACUUCUUUUCAGGAUCCUAUAGGAUUAAACAUAUUACAUAUGCGGAAGCAGCACCUAGAGAGAGUAAAUACUAAAAAAAGUGUUAGUGAUCUCAUUUUCUUUCUCCCCUGACUAGUCUCCCUGGAGUGCUGUUCACACCCAGAUAA
This is a long non-coding RNA of Myotis daubentonii (Daubenton's bat), 802 nucleotides long. RefSeq lists it as uncharacterized. The record is from RefSeq and is a predicted model, not a curated record. NCBI's taxonomy places the organism in Eukaryota, Metazoa, Chordata, Mammalia, Chiroptera, Vespertilionidae.